This 454-nucleotide ribosomal RNA is filed under the name uncultured bacterium. RNAcentral's name for it is "bacterial SSU rRNA". It matches the Rfam family "Bacterial small subunit ribosomal RNA", at positions 343 to 794 of the family's 1533-position model. The record is from RNAcentral.
AGGAGGCAGCAGUGGGGAAUAUUGGACAAUGGGCGCAAGCCUGAUCCAGCCAUGCCGCGUGCAGGAUGAAGCAUCUAUGGUGUGUAAACUGCUUUUGUACGAGAAGAAACAUCCCUUCGUGAAGGGACUUGACGGUAUCGUAAGAAUAAGGAUCGGCUAACUCCGUGCCAGCAGCCGCGGUAAUACGGAGGAUCCAAGCGUUAUCCGGAAUCAUUGGGUUUAAAGGGUCCGUAGGCGGCCUUAUAAGUCAGUGGUGAAAUCUCCCGGCUCAACCGGGAAAUGGCCAUUGAUACUGUAGGGCUUGAAUUACUAGGAAGUAACUAGAAUAUGUAGUGUAGCGGUGAAAUGCUUAGAGAUUACAUGGAAUACCAAUUGCGAAGGCAGGUUACUACUAGUGGAUUGACGCUGAUGGACGAAAGCGUGGGUAGCGAACAGGAUUAGAUACCCCGGUAGC